This 460-nucleotide ribosomal RNA is filed under the name uncultured bacterium. RNAcentral's name for it is "partial 16S ribosomal RNA". It matches the Rfam family "Bacterial small subunit ribosomal RNA", at positions 338 to 795 of the family's 1533-position model. The record is from RNAcentral.
CCUACGGGAGGCUGCAGUGAGGAAUAUUGGUCAAUGGACGAGAGUCUGAACCAGCCAAGUAGCGUGAAGGAUGACUGCCCUACGGGUUGUAAACUUCUUUUAUAAAGGAAUAAAGUGAGGCACGUGUGCCUUUUUGUAUGUACUUUAUGAAUAAGGAUCGGCUAACUCCGUGCCAGCAGCCGCGGUAAUACGGAGGAUCCGAGCGUUAUCCGGAUUUAUUGGGUUUAAAGGGAGCGUAGAUGGGUUGUUAAGUCAGUUGUGAAAGUUUGCGGCUCAACCGUAAAAUUGCAAUUGAUACUGGCAGUCUGGAGUACAGUUGAGGUAGGCGGAAUUCGUGGUGUAGCGGUGAAAUGCUUAGAUAUCACGAAGAACUCCGAUUGCGAAGGCAGCUUACUAAACUGCCACUGACAUUGAUGCUCGAAAGUGUGGGUAUCAAACAGGAUUAGAUACCCCAGUAGUC